Molecule: ribosomal RNA, 803 nt
Filed under: Cantharellus roseocanus
Lineage: Eukaryota; Fungi; Basidiomycota; Agaricomycetes; Cantharellales; Hydnaceae
Description: eukaryotic LSU rRNA
Rfam family: Eukaryotic large subunit ribosomal RNA
Source: RNAcentral
AAGAGCUCAUCAUUGGAAUCUGGCAGUGUUACACUGUCCGAGUUGUAGAUGAGGAGUAGUCCGUCUGGACUGCAUGGCGUCCAAGUACAAUAGGCCGUCAGUGGGACAUCAUAGAGGGUGACAAUCCCGUCCUUGACGCCAAUGUGCAAGUCUAUUACGAUGGCUAUCUCAGAGAGUCGAGCAGUUUGGGAUUUGCUGCUUAAACAUGGGAGGUAGAUUCCUUCUAAAGCUAAAUACAGGCGAGAGACCGAUAGAGAACAAGUACCGCAAGGGAAAGAUGAAAUAGCACUCUGUGAAGGGAGUCAAAAGGCGUGAAAUUGUUGCGAGAGAAGCGAUUCAAGUCAGCGUAGCUAGGCCCAUCAAGCGUCUUCGCUUUGGACUAGCUUUGCCAGCGGUCUUGUCCCUUAAAGAGACUUGACUUGUAAUAUGUCCAGCCUGGCGUGCACAGGCAGCCCCUUCUGGGGGCCAGUGGCAUGGCUGGUGGAAUGGCUUGCAAUCGACCCGUCUUGAAACACGGACCAAGGAGUCUAACAUGUAUGCGAGUAUAAGGGUGGCAAACCCGUAUGCGCAAUGAAAGUGAUUUUCGGUGAUUGAGAAUGGCCUGAUGACCAGACAAGCAAUAUAUGUCCCUCGUACGGCCAUUGCCCAAGUUCCGUGGUAGAUCCCACGAACAUGGAGUUGGAGCAUACAUGCUAGGACCCGAAAGAUGGUGAACUAUGCCUGGACAAAGCGAAGCCAAAGGAAACUCUGGUGGAGGCUUGUAGCGAUUCUGACGUGCAAAUCGAUCGUCUGAUCUGGGUAUA